CACGGAGGGUGCAAGCGUUAUCCGGAUUCACUGGGUUUAAAGGGUGCGUAGGUGGGCAGGUAAGUCAGUGGUGAAAUCUCCGAGCUUAACUCGGAAACUGCCAUUGAUACUAUCUGUCUUGAAUUAUCUGGAGGUGAGCGGAAUAUGUCAUGUAGCGGUGAAAUGCUUAGAUAUGACAUAGAACACCAAUUGCGAAGGCAGCUCACUACGGAUAUAUUGACACUGAGGCACGAAAGCGUGGGGAUCAAACAGG
This 253-nucleotide ribosomal RNA is filed under the name uncultured bacterium. RNAcentral describes it as "partial 16S ribosomal RNA". It matches the Rfam family "Bacterial small subunit ribosomal RNA", at positions 524 to 776 of the family's 1533-position model. The record is from RNAcentral.